ACGCUGGCGGCGUGCCUAACACAUGCAAGUCGAACGGUAACAGGUCUUCGGAUGCUGACGAGUGGCGCACGGGUGAGUAACGCGUGGAUAUCUGCCUAUUAGUGGGGGACAACUUUCGGAAACGGAAGCUAAUACCGCAUAAUCUCUACGGAGGAAAGCAGGGGACCUUUCGGGGCCUUGUGCUGAUAGAUGAGUCCGCGUCUGAUUAGCUAGUUGGUAGGGUAAAGGCCUACCAAGGCGAUGAUCAGUAUCUGGUUUGAGAGGAUGAUCAGACACACUGGAACUGAGACACGGUCCAGACUUCUACGGAAGGCAGCAGUGGGGAAUAUUGCACAAUGGGGGAAACCCUGAUGCAGCGACGCCGCGUGUGGGAAGAAGGCUUUAGGGUUGUAAACCACUUUCAAUUGGGAAGAAGAGAUGAGUACUAAUAUUAUUCUGAUUUGACGGUACCUUUAGAAGAAGCACCGGCUAAUUUCGUGCCAGCAGCCGCGGUAAUACGAAAGGUGCAAGCGUUGUUCGGAUUUACUGGGCGUAAAGCGAGUGUAGGUUGUUUAUUAAGUCGGAUGUGAAAUCCCAGGGCUCAACCCUGGAACUGCAUUCGAUACUGAUAGGCUAGAGUUCGGGAGGGGUAAGCGGAAUUCCGUGUGUAGCAGUGAAAUGCGUAGAUAUACGGAGGAACACCUGAGGCGAAGGCGGCUUACUGGACCGAUACUGACACUGAGACUCGAAAGCGUGGGUAGCAAACAGGAUUAGAUACCCUGGUAGUCCACGCCCUAAACGAUGUCAACUAGCCGUUGCGGGUAUCGACCCCUGCAGUGGCGAAGCUAACGCGAUAAGUUGACCGCCUGGGGAGUACGGUC
RNAcentral lists this ribosomal RNA (860 nucleotides) under uncultured bacterium. RNAcentral describes it as "bacterial SSU rRNA". It matches the Rfam family "Bacterial small subunit ribosomal RNA", at positions 33 to 887 of the family's 1533-position model. The record is from RNAcentral.